GUAAUAUAGCAAUGAUGUAUGUUUGUGGUGAGUAUAAGGGUAAUAUAGCAAUGGUGUAUGUUUGUGGUGAGUGUAAGGGUAAUAUAGCAAUGGUGUAUGUAUGUGGUGAUUAUAAGGGUAAUAUAGCAAUAGUGUAUGUGGUGAGUGUAAGGGUAAUAUAGCAAUGGUGUAUGUGGUGAGUAUAAGGGUAAUAUAGCAAUGGUGUAUGUUUGUGUGAGUAUAAGGGUAAUAUAGCAAUGGUGUAUGUUUGUUGUGAGUAUAAGGGUAAUAUAGCAAUGGUAUAUUUGUGAUGAGUAUAAGGUAAUAUAGCAAUGGUGUAUGUUUGUGGUGAGUAUAAGGGUAAUAAGAGCAAUGGUGUAUGGUGUUGUUGUGAGUAUAAGGGUAAUAUAGCAAUGGUGUAUGUUUGUGAUGUGAGUAUAAGGGUAAUAUAGCAAUGGUGUAUGUUUGUGGUGAGUAUAAGGGUAAUAUAGCAAUGGUGUAUGUUUGUGGUGAGUAUAAGGGUAUUAUAGCAAUGGUGUAUGUUUGUUGUGAGUAUAAGGGUAAUAUAGCAAUGGUGUAUGUUUGUGGUGAG
Molecule: long non-coding RNA, 571 nt
Filed under: Mytilus galloprovincialis (Mediterranean mussel)
Lineage: Eukaryota; Metazoa; Mollusca; Bivalvia; Mytilida; Mytilidae
Source: RNAcentral